Molecule: ribosomal RNA, 253 nt
Filed under: uncultured bacterium
Lineage: Bacteria
Description: partial 16S ribosomal RNA
Rfam family: Bacterial small subunit ribosomal RNA
Source: RNAcentral
GACGAACCGUGCGAACGUUGUUCGGAAUCACUGGGCUUAAAGGGCGCGUAGGCGGACAGUCAAGUCAGGGGUGAAAUCCCACGGCUCAACCGUGGAAGUGCCUUUGAUACUGACAGUCUCGAGGGAGGUAGGGGCGUGCGGAACUUCCGGUGGAGCGGUGAAAUGCGUAGAUAUCGGAAGGAACGCCGGUGGCGAAAGCGGCGCGCUGGACCUCUUCUGACGCUGAGGCGCGAAAGCUAGGGGAGCAAACGGG